RNAcentral lists this transfer RNA (87 nucleotides) under Acidobacteriota bacterium. RNAcentral describes it as "Acidobacteria bacterium (soil metagenome) tRNA-Leu". It matches the Rfam family "tRNA". Rfam says of the family: Transfer RNA (tRNA) molecules are approximately 80 nucleotides in length. Their secondary structure includes four short double-helical elements and three loops (D, anti-codon, and T loops). The record is from RNAcentral. Lineage: Bacteria; Pseudomonadati; Acidobacteriota.
GCCGGGGUGGCGGAACAGGCAGACGCUCGGGACUUAAAAUCCCGUGGCCUUCGGGCCGUGCGGGUUCGAUCCCCGCCCCCGGCACCA